AUCAAUAAAUAACUAACACCUAAUCUAUUAUAAAAAAUUAUUAAAACAGCAAUAUCCAUUUAAAAAUGACUCGGUAAAAAGAAUGAAACAACUUUCCAGCCAUUACUUACGGUGGGGCGCUGAAAAAGCAGUCUGGAGGGCGGUGAGAAUAAGCCCCGCCGCAGCAGCAAGCACUGCAAUUAGUUUCCACCUCGUAGGGAUGUAAUCACGUCGAAGCACCCGAAACGAGUGCGUCCAAUUGUAACAAAAUGAAGCUAGAUUCCCCCUGAAAAUGUGCCACGUGAUUUUACAUGUUCCCGUGGCAGAAAGUGUGCUUGGGUAUGAAUUCAAAUCCAGAAUCACCUCACUAAUCCAAGGAUCUCUGUCAGUUUCCACCAGAUCGGAUUCAGAAAUUCCCUCUGUCAUCUUACGGAACAGAUCCACCAGAUCUUCCUCGCUCUUCACUCUUUUGCCCUCCUUGUCCGCCGCUACCGAUAUUACUUGGCUGUCCAGGAGCACUCUAACGUCGUGGACGGAACAAAUCAAACCCUUGAAGAACCAAGCAUAACAAAGAAAGUGAAACCUUAUUCCGGAUUCAUUCAUGACGUCAGAAAUAGCUCUUUCGCCGUUCUGUUUUUCCACCUUAUUUUUGUUCACCUCCCAAGCAAUGAAAUUCCGCCAUUUUGCUUCCGUGGUUUCAGUAAUUCGUAGCUGCGGAAUUUCUAGCUUCCCAUCGCUGAAUUUUACCCUCAAGUCAAACCUGCUCAUGGCUGCUACACUUGAAUCCCUGCGCUGUUCGUUAAUCGUACCUUCAAUUUUAACUCCAGCUGCUUGGAGCCUGGUAGCACAGCGAUCUAGUUUCACUUUUCUGUUAGUGCCCCUCUUAUCUUCUGCACUCUCUAUAUGGAUCUUCAAAUCCUUCUUCACUCUAUCCUUCUCCUUUUCCUUAUCUAUGGAAGCGUGAACAAGUUCAAGGAAAUGAAAAACCUUGAACUCCUGGGAGGUGGAAUCCAGGGUACCGUAAUUGUAGCCCAAGAUAGAAAGCGCACGCUCUUGUAUCAAUCUCUUACCAUCUUUGUCUGAAAAAACUUUGGGAAAAAGUACAUGGGACAACACGUAGAGAACAACAAGGGGGAUUUGGUUUUCAAGCAUGGUUAAAUCGGAUAACACCUUUUCCCAUAGUAUAACACGGGCUCCAGGACUAGGAUUGGAUAUGUAGCUCUGUAUUCGGUUGUCUAGUUCUGUUGAUGAACUAAUGAGAAGCUCUAGCAGAAAGCAGCCGUCCAAUACCAUAAUUUUUGCGAGUUUGCUGCUGUUGAACCCAAGGUCAUCAACACUGUAGCUUGCACGAACAACUUCAUCUAAUUUCAACAGAGAUCUGCCGCAAUUUCUCAAAGCUUCCUGUGGAUGUAUUUCGGAUCGAGAAAGGAGAUGCGUCAAGCAGCGCCAUUUGAUCUUUUCCAUGUGUUGAAGCUCCAUUAUUUUUCCCUGGUGAAGGGGUCCUAUGGAGACCACUUGCGGCAUGUAAGCUUCCGUUUUCGAUUUUCUAAGUUGGUUUGAAACAAGGUAAAUGCUACAUGUUUCCACGUUUUCGUUAUCCACACAACCCAGCAUCGUUGACAUAGAAUCAGCCCAUUCAUCCAAAAUGGUAAAAUUGAUCCAACCUCCACAAAAAGAACCAUGAGUCAAGAGAAGAUUACAAUAUGUCCACCAACAACAAAUCCUGGAUACCAAUUGGGAUUUGAACAGGAGAAACUACGUCCGGAAGUUAAAGUUUCCUAAUCUUGGAGGCAGAAGAACUAAAGGUACAUGAAGAAUUCCAGAAAGCAAACGAAGAACUUCAGCAAAUGGUGCGAAGACAAGAAACCCAUCACAAGUGGGGGAUUCACGACCAAUUCAGACAUAUAUAUGCUGACAUUCAGCCCUUCUAGCAAGAGAUCAUGGAUGAACUAGUCCACUCCAUUAUAUGGUCCCAAAAACACACCCAUUUUUGGGAUCAGGGACCUGGAGAACAACCUCAAGGCCUUCUGAGAUUAGAUGUUAAUCUUGGGAGCAGUACAUGCCAUGCGAAGUAAGAUGUUUGUUAGUUCUUGGGAACUGCUCUACAAUGUCACAUUUGUCCUGCUUUUACUCAAAUGUUCAUGUAACAGUUCGCAACUAAUAAAGUGAAACCAUCAAGGAUCACUGAACUAUUUGAUAAAAGGAUAGGAUAAUGAGAUUACCUCAAUCGUUUUUUCGA
Molecule: long non-coding RNA, 2218 nt
Organism: Vigna radiata var. radiata (mung bean)
Lineage: Eukaryota; Viridiplantae; Streptophyta; Magnoliopsida; Fabales; Fabaceae
Exons: 2
Source: RefSeq, a predicted model, not a curated record